Molecule: RNA transcript, 10640 nt
Organism: Carassius gibelio (silver crucian carp)
Lineage: Eukaryota; Metazoa; Chordata; Actinopteri; Cypriniformes; Cyprinidae
Gene name: gastrula zinc finger protein XlCGF26.1
Exons: 5
Source: RefSeq, a predicted model, not a curated record
CGGAUCACUUAAAUAUGUUUUCUGUAUGUAAUUCAUCAGUUUGAGAGGGACUUUUAUUUUGAUGGCGUAUCGUGACGUCACAGGUCUGCGCCGCGGUCCGGUCUGUUAUUCGGCUGAAGAGAGAUAAACUCCUGCUGAAGCACACUGUUAUAAAGAUGGAGUUUAUUAAAGAGGAGAGUGAAGACGUGAAGAUUGAAGAAGCACUCAAACAUGAAGAGACCGAGGAACAAACAGACCUGAUGUCGCUGAAAGAGGAGAUUCCAGAACUGAAUGAAAUGGAAGAGAAAAAUAAUGACUCUAUGACUGGGGAAAAUUCUUCUAGUUUCUCACCGACUCAUAAAACAGAAACUAAGAACCUGGAAGUCCACAAUGAAGAGAGUCAUUUUAGCUGCCAGCAGUGUGGAAAGAGUUUCAGUCGAAAACAAAGCCUUACAACCCACUUAAAAAUCCACAGUGGAGAGAAGCCGUUCUUAUGCCCUCAGUGUGGAAAGAGUUUUACAAUGAAGAAAACUCUUCGUGCCCACAUGAGCAUUCACACUGGAGAGAAACCUUACUCCUGUGAACUGUGUGGGAAUGUUUUCUCACGAAAGGAAAGUCUUAACGUUCACAUGAGAAUCCACACUGGAGAGAAGCCCUACCCCUGCCAGCAGUGCGGGAAGAACUUCUCAGUAAAGGGAAAUCUUAAAAUUCACAUGAGAAUUCACACUGGAGAGAGACCAUUUAUAUGCCCUCAGUGCGGAAAGAGCUUCUCACUAAACAGGCAUCUUAAAGUUCACAUGCAAGACCACACUGGCAAGAGGUUGUUCAUCUGCUCUCAGUGUGCAAAGAGUUUUAAGCAGAAAAAAGAACUUGAUGCCCACAUAAAAAUUCACACUGGAGAGAAGCCUUACUCCUGCAAACUGUGUGGAAAGAGCUACAAAAUCAAAGCAAUCCUCAAGAUCCACAUGAGAGUUCACACUGGUGAAAAGCCUUUCGUUUGUGAUGACUGUGGAAAGAGUUUCAGAUAUAAAGAAAGCCUUAAUCAUCACAUGAGGACUCACUCAUCAGAGGACUGUUUUAUAUGUCAUCAGUGCGGAAUGAGUUUCUCAGACAGGAAUCACCUAGAGAAUCAUGUUAAAAAUCAUGUCGGAGCGAAGCUUUUCAUGUGCCAUGAAUGUGGAAAGAGUUUCAAACAUAGAAUGACCUUUGUGAAUCACAUGAGAGUUCACACUGGAGAGAAACCUUUCACCUGCCCUCAGUGUGGAAGGAGCUUCACAAUUAAAGGACACUAUGAGUAUCACAUGAGACUUCACACUGGAGAGAAACCUUACACCUGCCCAGAUUGUGGAAAGAGCUUCACAAAUAAAGGAAACCUUAAUACUCACACGAGAGUUCACACUGGAGAGAAGCCUUACAAGUGUCCUCAGUGUGAAAAGAGCUUCUCAUAUCACACAGAACUGAAACGGCAUGUGCAAACUCAUUCUGGUGAGAAAUUGCUGUUUUCCUCAGUGUGACGAUAAGUUUAGAAAAAGGAGCAAUUUCAACAGUCAUUGUUGCAUUCACUCUAGACAGAGACAAUUAAGUUGUGUUCAGUGUAAUUAAAACAUCAAACUUAGACAUAGAAAUGGAAAGUCAUUAACAAACCAGAUUCCCAAAAAAGUUGGGACACUGUACAUAUUGUUAAUAAAAACAGAAUGCACGAAGUGGAAGUUUUAAAUUUCAAUAUUAUAUUCAGAUUUUAAGGGGAAAAUAAGUUGAUUUUAAAUGUCAUGGCAUCAACACAUCUUAAAAGAGUUGGGACAAGGCCAUGUUUACCACUGUGUGGCAUCUCCUCUUCUUGUUAUAACAGUCUGCAAACGUCUGGGGACUGAGGAGACAAGUUGCUCAAGUUUAGGAAUAGGAAUGUUGUCCCAUUCUUGUCUAAUACAGGCUUCUAGUUGCUCAACUGUCUUAGGUCUUCUUUGUCACAUCUUCCUCUUUAUGAUGCACCAAAUGUUUUCUCUGGGUGAAAGAUCUGGACUGCAGGCUGGUCAUUUCAGUACCCGGAUCCUUCUUCUACACAGUCAUGAUGUUGUAAUUGAUGCAGUAUUGAAAGAGAUGACGUCUGGAUGGGAGCAUAUGUUGUUCUAGAACUUGGAUAUAUAUUUCAGCAUUGAUGGCGUUUUUCCAGAUGUAUAACUCCCCAUGCCACACACACUCAUGCAACCCCAUACCAUCAGAGAUGCAGCUUCUGAACUGAGCGCUGAUAACAACUUGGGUUGUCCUUGUCCUCUUCAGUCCGGAUGACAUGGGGUCCCAGUUUUACAAAAAGAACUUCACAUUUUGAUUCGUCUGACCACAGAACAGUUUUCCACUCUGUCACAGUCCAUUUUAAAUGAGCCUUGGCCCAGAGAAAACACCUGCGCUUCUGGAUCAUGUUCCUGUAUGUGAUGCAGUGCUGUCUAAGAGCUGAAGAUCAUGCGCAUCCAGUAUGGUUUUCCAGCCUUGUCCCUUACACACAGAGAUUGUUCCAGAUUCUCUGAAUCUUUGGAUGAUAUUAUGCACUGUAGAUGAUGAUAACUUCAAACUCUUUGUAAUUUUUCUCUGAGAAACUCCUUUCUGAUAUUGCUCCACUAUUGUUCGCCGCAGCAUUGGGGGAAUUGGUGAUCCUCGUCCCAUCUUGACUUCUGAUAGACACUGUCGCUCUGAGAGGCUCUUUUUAUACCCAAUCAUGUUCCCAAUUGACCUAAUAAGUUGCAAAUUGGUCCUCCAGCUGUUCCUUAUAAGUACAUUUAACUUUUCCGGCCUCUUAUUGCUAACUGUCCUAACUUUUUUGGAAUGUGUAGCUCUCAUGAAAUCCAAAAUUAGACAGAAUUUGGCAAGACAUUUCAAAAUGUCUCACUUUCUACAUUUGAUAUGUUAUCUAUAUACUAUGGUGAAUAAAAUAUGUUUAUGAGAUUUAUAAAUUAUUCCUUUCCUUUUUUUACUCACAAUUUGUACAGUGUCCCAACUUUUUAGGAAUUGGGUUUGUAAAUGUGAGACCGUGUUUGUGAGACCGUGAAAGAGUUCUGUCACGAUAACUCUCGGAGUGAUUAAAGUAACGUAAUGUAUUUGGUCUUAGUGGAAUAGAUCUGUUACGCUGCAGCAGUACAUGCACAACAUGCUGCUGUGAGUGUGUAAGAAAUACUGCUGCUGCUUCACAGAUAACACACAUGAAUAUCCCCCAUAGCAUACAUGAACCACCUCAUAGCAGAUCUAUACAGGUGGAGCUGGGGAAGGUGGAGGGUUUCUGAAGCAUGCUGCGACUGCUAAGGCAAGCUCUACUCAUAUAUUUGAAUGUUGAGCAGUGAGCUUAUUGGCUACCAAUACAGGAGAGAACCAAUCAGCUGUGUCAUUUGAUAAUGAUGUCAUUAGGUCAGAUUGAGUUAGACCUAUUGGACUGCGCCAUCUAGAGUCUCAUGCCAGAACUCUGUAUUUAAAGAGUCCCCUUUCAAAAAGAAAUCUAUUCAAGUGUGCUGUUGGUAUACACUUUAAAACUAAAAAUGGGAAAGCAUAGUUUUUUACUUUUUGUUUGCUUCACUGAAAUAUAAAUAAAAUUACUCUUAUAAGUGAUUAAUAAUGACAGAAAAGUCCAAGUAUAUUUGGCCUUUACUUGUACUUGACCUUUUGAUGAAGAUAUACUGAAAAUUAUAAUUUUAAGUAUACUUUGCUUGUAUUUGUGUUAACUCUUGAUUAAGGAGCAUUUUAUAGAUGUAUAUAGUGUCUUAUAAACUUACAUUUUUUGAAAACUGAAUUAUAAACAAAACAUUUUCCUAAUUCUAAGUUUUGAAGAAUUUAAUGAAUUUGAAUUGUAUUUUUGUGCACCGGUAAUGUACAAAUUAAGUUUCAGAAAAUCUACUUAACUCUUUGCCCGCUGUUGACUAAAAAUGACCAGCAAUCCAUCUUCUUCAGGGCUCGACAUUAACACUUGUCCGUUUGUCUGGGACCAGUGGAUUUUGUGAAGGGGCAAUUACAUUUGUGAAAAAAAAACCUUUUGUUUGUGAUUGAUGGAUUUACUUGUGAGCCCUGUUCUGAAUGAAUCUCAGAUCCACAAACACAGCUGAAGAAGCAGAAGCAAGCAAAGGAAGCAUUGUUUACACAUAGAUAAUAAUGUGCUCAUCAGACAUUAACCCAUGAAGAGUUCAACACUGCAAAGCUUUGGGGGUGUUGAUGGACUCGAUCUACUCCAUCUGUGUCCUGAUCAUCAUUCAGUGUAAAUAUUAUUCAGCUUUUUAUUCGUUUGUUUAUUUUUCUGGAAUCUACACAAUCCUGAGACAGCCAUGGCUGACAGUUUUCUCUCCCGAAUAUCUUGUACCACUAGUGAGGGUUUGGCCUGGAGCAAGAACUGCUUCUUUAGUUGUCUUCAGCUUCUCAAGGGGUCUCUAAAACACAUUUGGAUGCACGCCUUUCCACCGAAUGCCACCAUGACCAAGACUAAAUCAGCUGCUGGCGGCUCUAAUCUUUCUGCAAUAGUAGCUGUUGAUUAUAUGUUUCUCUUCUUGUGUUUUUGAGUAGGUAAUCCAAUAACAGAAGCUAGUGAUUAACACCAAUAUGUGAUGCGUCUGCAGGACAAUCAACCCUGCUUGUGCAGUAGAUGGAGACACCAUGGGAAAUAUAUUGUGAUAAAAUAAAUGAGGCUAGUGAAUAGUAGCUUUGAAAAUUAUGUCACACACUCUACAAAUCAAUGCCCUAACUGCAACAAUGGAAGCACUGGUUACAUUUGGGAAUGUUUUUCGUUGGUCCUCUUUGUGUAUGUGUUCAUGGUUUCUUUGUUUGACAGCCUGUCAAUAUUUCACAUUUCAUUUUGUUUGGCAGACAGUCAAAAUCAAUUGCUUUAAACCACCAUCAACACAAUCCUUAUCAGUCACCAUUCUUUAAAAUAAUGCACUUUAACAGAAAGUUCAAGCUUGAUUUAAUUAAUUCCCCUUGUAUUCUGUGGAGAAACUUAGAUGGAUCAGAUGGGUAUAACUUAAUAUCAUUUCAUUUAAUAAAUCACACAGUAGAUGUCUCUGCAGCCAUAAACUUAAUAUUUAUCUUUGCAUUAUUAAAAUUAAACUGUAAUGUGGAGCUCAAGACACUUGAUUUUAUUCAUUAUUGAGAAUAUCACGGCCGCUUUGUUGUUGCUAUUAUAAUUAUGAUCACUUCACAUUUGCUUACAAUUAGAGCCAGAAGCUUUAGUAAUGAUCUGUUAUUUAUCCUUUGAAACAGUCCUUUAUCUUAUAAUUUAAAUGGGGUUUAUGUGUGUGAAUUUCUGUAAUUUUUAGCAUGUGAAUAGGACUUUUAUUUUGGUGGAGCAAUGUGAUGUCAUUAGGCUGCAGUUUUGCAUCUGUGAUUCUGCUGAAGAAAGAAACAUACUAAUACAGUGAUUGCUGCAUCAGAGGACAUCGGCAAGGCUGUCCUGGCUGCUCUUCCUGGGCUCCCCACAGAUACAUUGGCAUCCUUGAUGACAGGCCUGGAGAGCCUUGGUGUGCAGAGCAUGGAGGACCUCUUCUAUUUGAGGGAAGAUGAUCUUCUGAUCUACCUCCGUCCAGUCCAGUGCAGAAAACUCAUUUGUGCCUUCACACCAAAAGAUCCCUCUUCAGCACCAUUUCCUCCAGGAAGUCCAGAACCCUCCUCAGCUCUGUUUUCUGUGGAAAGUCCACAAACCUCCUCAACCUUGUGUUAUCCAGGUACACCCGGACAAUUCAACACUAGAGGAAGACUUCUUCCAUCACCACACACACCAUGGCCUGCAAAGUUUAAAAUAAACUGGGAGAAGAUGCCGUCAGAGGUACAGCUAUCACAAAUUCAACAAGACCAAAUCCAGCAGCGAGAAGAGCAACGGUCAGAUGUCUUGUUGAUCAGAUGAGAGACCACAAUGCAAACCCUAAAAGAGGGUCUCUUCCGGGUCUGUUGUGACGCUGCAGUGACGCUGCUUUUCUGGCGCACCCAAUAAAAAAGAAAACAUGUCAGCAGAGUCGUAGUCACAGCAGUCGUGCUCACAACAGACCCUGAAGAGAAGACAAUGCUGAAUAAAGUCUUAGUUUUUGAUAUUUUUGGACCAAAAUGUAUUUUCGAUGCUUCAAAAUAUUCUAACUGACCCUCUGAUGUCACAUGGACUACUUUGAUGAUGUUUUUCUGACCUUUCUGGACAUGGACAGUAGACCGUACACACAGCUUCAAUGGAGGGACUGAGAGCUCUCGGACUAAAUCUAAAAUAUCUUAAACUGUGUUCAGAAGAUGAACGGAGGUCUUACGGGUUUGGAGAGACACAAGUCCAUUUUUAAAUAUAAACUAACACGCCUCCACAUCCCUAUGUCUCUAUGUGGAAAUAUUUGUGUAAUGCCACCCAAGUGUUCACCAAAGAAAGAAGCCGUGGUUUCAGUAACCACAGUUAGUGUUGAAGCAGUCAUGUCAGAGAGAUGUGUGUGGAUCUAGGAGGAAGAAAAAGCACUUUAUUUGGCCUUUCGAAAGUAGAUGCAUUUAGGAAUUUUUAAGAUUAUUAAAACAGAACAGUAACGCAUUUUAUGGACAAACGUUUCGUGAACCUAGGAGAGGAAGUCAUUCUGACUUUGCUACGACUAUCUGGCGAUUCUGAAUCCGCUAACGUACUGUAACGUUAAGUAUGUUUUGUUAUUAGUUUAAGUAUUUGCUAUUGCACCCUGAACAUAUUUCAAGUACAAAGUUUCCUUCCUUUAAUCCCUGUUAAUAGUUGUUAGGAAAUACUGUAAUUCAACAUAAGCCUAUUGCAUCCAUUAAAUGCCUACUCCAAAUUAGCAAAAACCAUAGGAUGACUUUGUCUCCCACCCGAUAAAAUUGGUACUUUCACCCAUCAUUCAAUUCAAUUCAAUUCACGUUUAUUGGUAUAAUGCUUUUUACUAUACUAUUCAUUGCAAAGCAACUUUACAGAAAAUUAAGUUUCUACAAUAUUUAGUAGUAGCAUAUGAGUGGUGACUGAAAUGCUAAGUGCAGACACGUGGAUGAUGUCCAUAGAAGGAACAAUUGUGAUGGGUCCCCACAACAGCCUGCUGAAUGGAGUGGCAGCGACCUUUGCUGACUACUGUGUUUAACUUGCAUUAUCCCAAAGAUGCCUCAAACACUCUUGAAUUUGUCCAAAGGUAUGUUUAAACUGUUUGCACACUACCGUAUUUUUCGGACUAUAAGUCGCACCUGAGUAUAAGUCGCAUCAGUCCAAAAAUACGUCAUGAUAAGAAAAAAAAAAAAGUUGCACUGGACUAUGAGUCACAUUUAUUUAGAACCAAGAACCAAGCGCCCUCUCGCGGCUGGAGACGGUAAUGUUGUCUCUUGGUUCAUGUGAAAUUAAUUUUGAUUAAUAAGUCGCCAGCCAAACUAUGAAGAAAAGUGCGACUUAUAUUCCGGAAAAUAUGGUAAUAAAAAUAAUAGAACCAUCAUUCUCAUGUGGAGCUACCCAUGAAUCAUUUUCUUUUUAUUCAGUAUUGUUAGACUCUUUGAUAUACUCUAUUCAUUGAUGUCAAAAGACAAAAGACUAUUCAAUCCUUUGCGUCUUUUAUGUACAUUCGUAAAAAUUUGGCAAAGAAACCCUAAUUGGAGAGACGGGGCAUAGAGGAGAAACAAUAAUGUGUUUUUUUAACCUUAAACCGCAUAAACACAUUUCAUUACACCAAAUACACAAAAUAAUGUUCUUUUUAGCAAUGUCAUAUGACCCCUUUAAGGUACGUUGCAGACACUUUUGUCCAAAGUGAAAUACAAUUUACAGUGCAUACAGUGGCAUUACAUAUUUAAGAAAACAAUGUUAAAGCCAAUGUGAUUGUAAAUGUUAAGUUGUGUUAAUGUUAAAUAAAUACAUCAACGUCAUUUAUUUUUCAGCGACCAAGUAGGAAUAGUUUACUUACUGUUUUUGUUUGUUGUUGUUUUUUACACCAUAUUCAUCAUUAACAGAUAAGAAAACUUUUUUCAAUCUCUCUGUUUUCAGAGCUUUUUGUGGAAUCAACUCCCAGUUGGGUAGCAAAGCAGAGAAGAGACAUGGACUCAACGCCCCUGUCUGCACCCUCUUAAGAAAACUCCUGGACUUUGAGUUGAUGGGCAGGUACUGAUGCCAACCCACAGCUUCCCCAGUUCAAGACUAGCUGGGCACUUUAUCACCAUGUUCCCCUUGAUGAUACAUUGUCUGGACAUCAGUGAAACUAAUAUUGUUUGUAUGAUAAAAUAAGAUAAAAGAAGUUUGUAAUAUGAUGUUGCAUAGUGUGUUAAUAAAAAAAAAGAAAGAAAAGAUGCCAUGGUUUUGGUUUUAAUUGUGGAAGAUUACAGAAUUUUAUCAUAACAAUUAGAAAUUACAAGAUGAGUACAAUUUUGAAUUACAAUAUUCAACUGUAAUUGUCUCCUGUAAAAUUGAGUUGCAGUAAAUAUAAAUUAUAAUAAAUUACAGAAUUUUACUGUAAUAAAUCACAGUAGCACUGCUGUAUAAAUACAGGACUCUAUUGUAUUAAAAAAACAAUAUAUUACCUGUAUAUUACUUGUUGUAAAUUCACGGCAAUUAGUUGCCAGGAAUUUCCUGUAAAAUUACAAUAAAUUUUUAACAGUGCAUGUCAUGUGUGUUUUUAGAGAAGGCUAAUCAGAUUGAUCUAUAGCACUUGUCCUCUCUGUAAGAUCUCACAUGCAAACUCUCCUGUGCUCUCUGUAUGUGUGUUGGCUUUGAAAGCUCCCCGAUUUAUUAUUCUAUUGUUCUCACGAAACGAGUCUUUCACACCUCCGCCAGGUACGACACAUUAUCCACAUUAUUCUUUUAUCCAUGUCAUUAAAUGUGGUAUUUUCACAUGCUCUCAGAUGGAACAACAUUUACAACAAAGAGCCAUAGUUCACGGAGAAGCUACGCAAACAGCUGUCAUUAUCACACCCGGUUUCUUCGAUUUAAUGAUCAUGAAAUUAAAUUGUCUAGGAUGUUUUUGUUGUAACGUGUCAGUGAACGGCGGCUCUGUGUAGUAAAUGUUGAUCCACCUGAAAGCAGGUGAUAAUUACUUCUGUUUGAUGUCCAUGAUACCUGUGGUUUACAGUGAAGAGAAACGAAGCAGGCUGUAGUGUUAGGGCCCGGUCUUUUCCCUCGAUGCGGAAGAACGAAGCGCCUUACAACAUGGAGGUAUUCUGUGUUGUGAGGAAACUUCUACGUUACACCCUACAUGUUCAGGACGGUUCAUGUUGAGUUCAAGUUUAGGUCCUUCGUUCAUUUUUGGACUUUGUUUGUAUGUAUGUUUGUUCAUUCAUACUAAAUACCAGGUGUUUCUGGUAAGCAGAGUCAUUCUACAGUGCAAGGUGUUAUUGGUGACAUGAAUAUGGUCUUAAGUAGUUUUAAUGAUCUUUAAUGUUGUAAAUACAUUUCUUUAUAUAAGUACUGGGGAAAUAAAACGGUUAGGCUGAUAGCUGUUUGGGAUAUAAAACAAACAAACAAAAAAACAUUAACCGGCUUAUCUUAUUACACAGAUGUAAUAAGUAGAUUCUAACUAAUUACUUUUUAUAACACUUGUUAUAACAUAAGUGUAACUUAGUUAUACCAACAACCGUUAUAGUUUUGAAAUACUUUAAGAUCAAAGUAUUAAAAAACAAACACCUGUUAUUUUGUACACCUUGUCUUGAAAUGUGGGUUAGAUAAUGUCUUUUUCUUAACAUUUUGUUGCUUUGUUGCAGGUGGAGCUGGCUUCAGAAAACCUUUUAUCCGAGACACCCACUGCACUUGUAAAGCAGGAUUGGGGCACUGUAAUCAUUUCCUAGGACUACUUUACACACGGGCUCACUACCUAAAAAUGGAGCAUAAAUCUGAGAUCAAAUGCCCAAACAAUGACCGCUUCAAAAACUGCUCAUAUUUGACAAGUGCAGCAGGGAACUUGACUCUGAAAAAGACCCACGAGUACUACUAUCAGAUUGUUGGACAAAUGGGGAUUGGUGGGUUUACCUGGUGUGGCUUUUUUGUAAAAUGCAAUAGUGAUUACCACCGUAUCCAUUUCAACAAAGAUGAAUGGGAGGAGCUGAAGUCUAAGCUUGAUUUGUUCUUUUUCAGCUGUUUCUUACCUGUUCUCUGCAACAGGAGACUGUAAACCAAAACAAAACCUCAAAUUACCUUUUGAAGUGUAUUUAAUUCUUAAAGGGAUAGUGCCAAACCUGCAUAAAUUAUUUUUUGUAUGCUGAACACAUUAGAUACUUUGAGGAAGGUGGGUAACAAAACAGUUGGCAAUAGGCACUGAUUUUCCAUAGUUUGGAAGAAAAAGUCAACGAUUAACUGUUUGGUUACUUGCAUUCCUCGAAGUAUUUUCUAUGUUCACUAGGAGAAACAAAUCAGUACAGGUUUGGAACAAAUUUAUGCUAAGCAAUUUAUGACCAAAUUUCCAAUUUGGAUAAACUAUUACCUUAAUGUAAAUACAUUGCAUUCUCUGUUAAAUAGUUUUUUAUUACUGUAAAUAUGACAAAUGAAGCUGUAUUCCUAUGAAAUGCAGAAUGUUUUAAUUCUCUCAAGCUUCAGACAUGUCUGUAAAUAAUUAAUAGUACAAAUGUUAUUACAAAGAGAAACUAAUUAAAAAGGUACAUUUUUAUAUUGAAAUGUUUUUGUAACUAAAAUGUGGUAAGAAUUACAAUAUGUAUAAAUUCAGUAUUAUAAAAAUCGUAUCAUUUUAUUUAAAAAUUAAUUUUCUGAAAUA